CCCUUAGAUGUUCUGGGCCGCACGCGCGCUACACUGUUCGACGCAGCGAGUCUUAACCUUGACCGAAAGGUUUGGGUAAUCUUCAGCAAAGUCGAACGUGAUGGGGAUCGAUCAUUGCAAUUAUUGAUCGUGAACGAGGAAUUCCUAGUAAGUGCAAGUCAUCAGCUUGCGCUGAUUACGUCCCUGCCCUUUGUACACACCGCCCGUCGCUGCUACCGAUUGAAUGGUUUAGUGAGAUCUCUGGAUUGACGCUGGCUAGGGGGCGACCCUUGGCCAGACUGUUGAGAAACUGCUCAAACUUGAUCAUUUAGAGGAAGUAAAAGUCGUAACA
RNAcentral lists this ribosomal RNA (331 nucleotides) under uncultured eukaryote. RNAcentral's name for it is "partial 18S ribosomal RNA". It matches the Rfam family "Eukaryotic small subunit ribosomal RNA", at positions 1470 to 1796 of the family's 1831-position model. The record is from RNAcentral.